GCACUGUUGAGGAGUCCCAGAAUAGGACAAAACAGCUGUCCAGUGC
Molecule: non-coding RNA, 46 nt
Filed under: Schistosoma mansoni
Lineage: Eukaryota; Metazoa; Platyhelminthes; Trematoda; Strigeidida; Schistosomatidae
Source: RNAcentral